CGGGUAGGGGUAAGGCUCGUCUACAUAUUACCCUCCCCAGACCCCACUUUGUGGGACUAUACUGGGUAGUUGUUGUUGUUGUUGUUGUUGUUGUUUGGAGUAUAUCUUAGAUUAUAAGACGAGCUUUGGUUCAUCUUAAAGAAAGAAAUUUAUUUUAGAAGCUUGAUUGGUAUUAGCAUUAUGGCUUUUGUGGAGUUCAGAACUGAAUAAUA
RNAcentral lists this long non-coding RNA (212 nucleotides) under Nicotiana benthamiana. RNAcentral's name for it is "long non-coding RNA (NBEN_LNC035218)". The record is from RNAcentral. Lineage: Eukaryota; Viridiplantae; Streptophyta; Magnoliopsida; Solanales; Solanaceae.